Molecule: ribosomal RNA, 200 nt
Filed under: uncultured bacterium
Lineage: Bacteria
Description: partial 16S ribosomal RNA
Rfam family: Bacterial small subunit ribosomal RNA
Source: RNAcentral
GAUGAACGCUAGCGGCAGGCUUAACACAUGCAAGUCGAGGGGUAUAUGGGGGCUUGCCCCCAUAGAGACCGGCAAACGGGUGCGGAACACGUACACAACCUUCCUCUUGGUGGGGGACAGCCCAGGGAAACUUGGAUUAAUACCCCAUAACAUACUGUGAUUGCAUAAUUACGGUAUUAAAGAUUUAUCGCCGGGAGAUG